GACAGAGGCCCCAAGCGUUAGGCGGAAUCACUGGGCUUAAAGCGUGUGUAGGCGGAUCGUUAAGUGUCUUGUGAAAUCCCACGGCUCACCCGUGGAACUGCUGGGCAUACUGGCGAUCUUGGGCCAACUAGGGGCAGCCGGAACAAGCGGUGGAGCGGUGAAAUGCGUAGAUAUCGCUUGGAACGCCGAAGGUGAAAACAGCUCGCUGGGGGCCUGCUGACGCUGAGACACGAAAGCCAGGGGAGCGAACGGG
RNAcentral lists this ribosomal RNA (253 nucleotides) under uncultured bacterium. RNAcentral's name for it is "partial 16S ribosomal RNA". It matches the Rfam family "Bacterial small subunit ribosomal RNA", at positions 524 to 776 of the family's 1533-position model. The record is from RNAcentral.